This 253-nucleotide ribosomal RNA is filed under the name uncultured bacterium. Its description in RNAcentral is "partial 16S ribosomal RNA". It matches the Rfam family "Bacterial small subunit ribosomal RNA", at positions 524 to 776 of the family's 1533-position model. The record is from RNAcentral.
UACGUAGGGUGCAAGCGUUGUCCGGAAUUAUUGGGCGUAAAGCGCUCGCAGGUGGUUCGUCGCGUCGUGCGUGAAAGACCCUGGCUCAACUGGGGGAUGUCGUGCGAUACGGGCGAACUGGAGGCCAGUAGGGGGAUGCGGAAUUCCGGGUGUAGUGGUGGAAUGCGUAGAGAUCCGGAGGAACACCAGCGGCGAAGGCGGCAUCCUGGACUGGUCCUGACACUCAGGAGCGAAAGCGUGGGGAGCGAUCCGG